UUCAAAUAACGAAAUAAGAGCACAGAAAAGAUAAUUCUCUUACGAAAUUUCUGGACUUACCUGUAGCCUAUGCAUAACAUAAAUUUCCAUCCAAAAUACAUAAAUUUUAUUGUAUUGCGUAGUAAACACUGUAAAAGUUCAUGCAAGGAUACCAUACCCACCAAAGGCAUGGAUAAAAAUAAGUAGCAAUUUAAAGUAUAAAAUCACUGAAUCACUAAAUAAGUAGGUUUGCUAUGUACAACAUCACAACACGAUUAACUGUAUUUAGCUAGUUUGCUUGAUAAACAAUCCAACAAAGAAAAUGGUAUCAUAUGGAGCGUUCAGCUGGAGACAACUGGUAUGUGCGCCUCCUUAACUCGGACUCUGGAGUGGGCUGCUGCAAAAAAAUUCUUGUUGGAUCAUUAGGAUCAACAUAUGCAUGUCUCAUCAUUUCAUCAACUGGAGUCUGUGCUGCUACUAAAGGAUUCAUCUGAGGGCCCGUUCUGGGGAUUGAUUGUUGAUUGUGUUGCCUUACAGAAGAGAUCAAGUUAAAAAAAAGUGGAAUGAAGGUUCCACAGCCCCCUUCCUUGAACAAAAUCUUGAAUGAGUGAGUGGAGUAGAGAGCUGCAUUCUCAUUUUCUGGAACUACUGGUUCCACAAGACCUGAAACAUUGUUGCAAAAGAAUAUUGGUUGAUUGAAUUUUUCUCCAUGAACAUAAAGCUGCAAAACAAAGAAAUUGAACCAUUGGAAAACAUUACAAAGCUGACAUAAUAGCAUCGAAGUAGAAUAUGAAUAUUCCAGAACCAAUUUAACCGUAACAUUGCCAUGGAUUCUUUAAGUUUCCAAUUUUACUAGUUGUGAGCCUAUGAUUGACUGAGACCUAGGAAUAUAGCAAAUGCAACCAUUCAGGCAACCAAACAUGUAACUUGGUCUCUGCCUAAAGCAUAUCUCAUAAGAAGGGCUCCCAUUACCUGGUAAUUUUUAGUAUGUAAAAGAAGACGCAUGAAAACAUUUAUAUGCAAAACUCAAUUUGUGAUGAGUCUUUGAAAUCACUGAUGCGUUACCGUUACAAGUUGCAUGAUAGUGCAAACACUUCAGAUUCACUUCAAUGCAAAGGAUAGAUUCCAGCUAUCCUCUUCAAUUUUCAUCACUGUUCUUACUAAUAUUUCCAUGAAAAAUGCUAAAAAUUACGUACCAAAAAUAGAACUUCGCAAGAGGUGAAAGAAAGGGAAGAAGGAAUUAGUACUUGCAACAACCAUUCAAUAAAGGUUGGAAAACAAGGUUUAUGCUAUUUUCAUAAUAAUUAAAAGAACAAUAAAGUCAAACUUAGAUGAGGUAGCAUACACAGGUAGGCAAGGCAGAAAUAAGUUGUCACUUACCAGGGGCAUAUCAAAAGCAGUGAAGUUUCCAACAGGUUUAUUUGCAACAAAAACCAUACGUACAUUUGACAAGUAGAUUAUUCCCUUAGCUUUAACAUGACCUCCCUGACUUCCAGGGAUCUUGUCAAUCUCGAACUCGACGCCAUCUCUAGUCAAAACAAAGAUCUCGUUGACGAAUGGUACCGGCAUCCCAUUUUGGAACAGUUGAGGGUUCAAAGCCAUCUCUUUUCUUGCUCUUGGUGCGAUUUAUUUUCUCCUGUGCGUUGGCGAAUAUUAAUUUAAUUCCUGAAUUUAUAGUUGGCAUCGCA
This 1667-nucleotide unclassified non-coding RNA is filed under the name Hevea brasiliensis (rubber tree). The record is from RNAcentral. Lineage: Eukaryota; Viridiplantae; Streptophyta; Magnoliopsida; Malpighiales; Euphorbiaceae.